Molecule: long non-coding RNA, 607 nt
Organism: Neltuma alba
Lineage: Eukaryota; Viridiplantae; Streptophyta; Magnoliopsida; Fabales; Fabaceae
Exons: 2
Source: RefSeq, a predicted model, not a curated record
UUCUGCCAGACACAAAAACCAGAACCAGCCAUUCCCUUUGUUUCUGCUAGUUCUGCUUCAAUGAGGUACGCAGUUGGCCAAACUCUUCAAAGAACUACGAGAGAUCAUGGACAAAUUCUCAACGGCGUUGAUUGCCUUACUUGCGGCCAAGAACGCCAUAGGCACAGAAGCGAACCCUCUGCUCAAAAACGAGCACGUUAAACUUAUGAUGAUGUUUCUGGUUUUGAUCAUUGUUCUUUACCACCUAACGUUGGUGAUCAGAACAGUUCUUGUUCAGCUACCUCCCCAGAACACUCGCCUUCCUCACAUUCUAACACUCAUCAUCAUAGCUUUGCUCGGAGGUUCUGCAUCAGUUUUAGCUUUGGUCAUCAUUUGAAAGCUCCCUAUCGGCCAUUUCCUUUCGUCAACGUGGGCUUUGUGGCUUUCUAUUCACUGUUGUCGUUGUUGUUGUUCAUUGACUCUAAUUUGGUACCGUCUUUUCUUGGGCUUUUCCAUGUCACUGGAACAAGUUUGUGUGUCUUGAUCGAUUGGGAUGAUUAAAAGCUUAUACGCAUUUUAAUAUUUUAUAUCUCUUAUUACUUUUGAAUGUGGGAUUUGUAUUCUCCAA